This is a long non-coding RNA of Bradysia coprophila, 239 nucleotides long. Lineage: Eukaryota; Metazoa; Arthropoda; Insecta; Diptera; Sciaridae. The record is from RefSeq and is a predicted model, not a curated record.
AAUAAAAUGACCAUAGUACUGCUUCUAGCACGAACACUCAUUUUUGGAACGUCAAAAAGCCUCCAAAUUUGCAAAUAUGUAUGCGUGUACGAUUGCAUGUAUUGUGUGUUUUUAUUCACAUCAAGAAAUCAUGACUUCUAUCUUUACGAGAAAAUGCAAGGCCUAUUUUGAUUGCAUUAGCCUUCGAAUAUUUCUUAUGUUCAUGCUAGUAGCAGAGCUGUGACGAAGUAGGAAAAGAU